This 297-nucleotide long non-coding RNA is filed under the name Homo sapiens (human). RNAcentral describes it as "non-protein coding lnc-FGB-9:1". The record is from RNAcentral. Lineage: Eukaryota; Metazoa; Chordata; Mammalia; Primates; Hominidae.
UGGCAAUCAGCUCACAAAGUGAGGUAGCCAUCUUUAAACAGCAGGAUCCAGAGUCCCAGAAAUCUUGACUCAGCCAGAUGGGAUGUCAGAGGAAGCUUCUGAAGAACUGGAGACCAGUUACAGCAAGCCGCUAUGGAACAUCUCUAGGCCAGAUUCGGUGUUAUCUUAAAGGACUGCGUGCAAUUCUACUUGGAGAUCUUCAUAACACCUUAAGGGAAAAAUCCUUUUUGAAAGAAAAACAAGUCUGGGUGGUGCUUGAAAAUUCAGAAGGCAGCUAGAAACUCUGCCAAUUACAAC